Monodelphis domestica (gray short-tailed opossum) is the source of this 3705-nucleotide non-coding RNA. NCBI's taxonomy places the organism in Eukaryota, Metazoa, Chordata, Mammalia, Didelphimorphia, Didelphidae. The record is from RefSeq and is a predicted model, not a curated record.
UUGGUUGCCAUCGAUCUUAUUGUCUCUGAGUAGAAUGAUGAAUCAGGCAAUCUUUCUGUAUGCUUUGAAUGACACAGCUAUAGCUCUGUGGGUAGCCAGAAGUCUUCCCUAUUGGAUGUGUCCUUUGGCGUUUUUAGGAAGAUGGCUCAGACUUAAAGGAGGAGGAGGAGAAUAGCAAUUAUGAGACGUCCAGGGAUUCUCCCUGAUUCUACCAAAGAUCCUCUACAGUGACUAUAUUUGGAAGCUGCCCUGGGGGAAUAGGUCAAUACAACUCAUUAAAAGUCCACGAUGACUUGGUAAUUCAAAUUGAUCUUUGGGAAAGUUAAGGGUUUUAUUUAAGGGGUGCAGACAUCAUACCAGUUAUUGGGUUUACAGGUCUAUAGUGUUGAUCACUGACCACAGUACAUAUUCUAAUUAUAUAGCUAGUGUGAUUUCCAGUAAAAAAAAAAAUUCAAAGGACUUGAAAUAACUUUUAUGACUCCAGCAAUGGAUGGUAACGCAGAAGAACUGCAUGUAGAUGGAAGGACAGGACAAAAUUUGUAAUUGAUAUAAACGAGGCAUACUUCCUGGAAAGUGAGUUGUUAUUGCUAGCACCAUCUAGAAAAUGUUGAAACCCUCCAAACAGUAAGGAGGGGAGCUUUGGCUAUUUUAAUGUCUUAGGGGAUUGACAAAACUGGAUUUAGAUGGCUCAUUUUCUUGAUAUAACCAGAAUCACAUGAAAAAAUCUAAACCUCUCUGGCAUUACAUAGUACAGAGUGUUUUAUUAGCUGCAGGGGUCCCCUUAGUGCCACUAGGAAAUCCAUACGAAGAUGGAAGUCAGAAGACUAAAAUAACAAUAAUAAUUCUUUGCAGUGACAUGGCAUCUUUCAUCUGAAGAACUCAAAGCACUUAGCAGAUGUUAUACCCAUUAAAGCGAUGUGGCAAGCAUUAUUCUCCCCAGAAUACAGAUGGAGAGAGGGGGGACCAUACCACUGUCAUUCAGACUAAAACUGGAAUAAACAUUUAAUUAUCUUUGAGAGGAAAUCUUUCUAGCGUAACCCUUUCCUUCUGCAGUUUCUUAUUCCCACUGAGUGAAUGGGACAGGUCACAUCCUUCAGGCUGGUAUGUCUACUGCAGGUAUCCAAACAUUGUAAUGAAAUCACCUCCCUUUCUUUAUUUCCAGACGAAACAUAUUUAACUUUGAAGUCCCUUCUUCAGAAGGUAGAGCUUCUCUUCCUUUGCUUAUCCCGUUAUUUCCCUAAAACCUGGAUGUGGUUUUCAAGACCUUAACGACUCAGGGGACCAAUCUGAGAUAGGCUAACCCCAAACCCAAGAGGGUGAUUGACAGCAACAAAGAGUCAUCCAAGUCAAGAUGGGAAGACAAAAGUUAAGAUAACUGAUGACAGCCUGGGAUGCGAUGCCUGACCUUGGUGACUUCAGUGUCUGACCAAGUCCCAAGCACUCCACAAUGCUUGCUUCAGUUGCCUUCAUGUCUACUGGAACAAAUUGUUCUUGUCUGCCCAUUCUGCCAGAAGAAAUCUUCACAUGCUUAGGGUGGAGUAUCGGAGUAGAGAGCUCUACCUUUGGGAAAUUUGGAAAGUGGGAAUGGUAACUACCAGAGGUUCAGGAGCCAUAGUUCAUGCUAGAGUUUGUUGCCAGCUGAUCCCAUCAAAGCCUCAAGAAGUGACUAGAAGCUGGCCUAAUAGUGGAUUGAACCCUGUUGGGCUCUACAGGUUCCAUGGUGAGGCAAGAUCACUAAUCCCUCUGCUGUGAAGGGGAAAGAGCAGGAUGGCCAUUAGGAAGAAGAUACUGUUACUACGGAGAGCGAGAUCCAUUCUGAAGAUGAUGGAAUUGUUUGGACAUAGAAGGUUUAAAUCAUAAAAUUCUUGAAGGAGAGGAAAAUCCCAAAGGUAUGUGGGAAAACCCCCCAAACUUGGACCUGUAAAAAUAGACUUGAAUCCAGGACUUCAAUCCCCAGAAGUCCUUGCUCCACUUCCCCAGAAUGCUUUGUAAUCUCACUGAAUUCUCACCUGGGCCCAGAGCAAAAUCAUUAUUUAAAGGGUCUCCGCCCAUGGCAGGGUCUCUUCUCUUCCUGGCUCCUCUGGCAAACAGACGCGUCUCAUGAUGUGAGUGAAAUUUGCUCAUGGCCCACCUAGCACGUGCUUCUCUUGCUUGUAUUUUCUUUAACCCUUGACCUUUAAUAAACUUCAUAAAAUUAAUACUCCUUGCAGAGAGAAACUAAUUUCUACCUCUAUCAGUAUCUCCUAAAUUUUAAUCUUUAUAGACCUUAUUAGUGAUAAAACAAAAGAAGCAACUGAGAGAACAUAAUUUAUUGAGCUAUCAACUUAACUUUUUCAUUGAUGUUGAGUUUUUUUAAUUAAUUCAUACACAUUGAGGGCAGUCCUUGAAGAGAGGCCUUUGCAAGCAAUAUUCUAGAAUAUGUCCCAUUUUUCUCAUUAUGUAAUUAUCUGAAAUAUAUUGAGGAGUCAAGUUCCCAUCAUGCUAAUUACUGAUGAUAAAGGAAACAUUUGAUUGGGUAGACUAGAAUGUCAGGCUUGGAGGCUGUCCUUCAAAAAGGUACUUUCUCAACCAUAACUUUCAAUUUUGCUAUUCUCUGCUUUCAAAUUAACGCAACUAAGUAUCAAGGCUCAUUGACAUAAUUUGGAGGAUCUUGUCUAAUUCUUUGUCUUCUGCAGUGAAUAUUUAAACAUAACCUGCUGAUCUCUUCUUGGUGGUUGCUUUGCUUACUCUCAUCAUGAAGAAAUGAGGGAAAGAUUAUUAAGUGUUUCAUGUUAUUUUGGGUUUAUGAGAAGCCACCUCCACCUAUUUGCAUCUUUCUGAACAAAACUAAAUGCUGUGUUUUUAUUUAACUAGAAUGUGUCUUUUUAUAGAAGAAUGUCAACACCAAUGAAUUGAAGUCCUUUAAAUGAUGUCCCAACUCAUUUGUUGCUGGUUAAAAAUUGUGUAUUAAAGAAAACAACAGUUUAAUUUAGGUUUAUGGAGUUUGCUCCUACUAACUCCUUUACUGCUAUUCUGGGACCAUUUCUGCAAAAGUAAAGGACUGAAGACCACUUGGGGUUGUUGCUAAUUUAAUGAUUGUACAUACCUGCAAGAUGGAGAUGGCAUGGGGUGGGGGGUGGUAAGGGGAGAUGGGUGAGGAGUCACCUAGUGAUCAAACUUCUGAUGAUGUCUCAAUAUUUACUAGACUAGUCUUCAGACAAUAGAUACAAUCUGCCUGGAAUGUUUUGUCCCUUUACUAUGCCUCUUAGAAUUCCUAAUUUCAGCUAAAAUUCCAUCAUCUACAUGAGACUUUUCUUCAUCCCACCAGCUACUAAUGACUGCCUGCAAAAAUAAGCUUUUUUUUUUUUAACCAUUGCCUUCUGUUUUAGAACUGAUAUUAAGUACUGAUCCCAAAGCAAAAAAGUGGAGAAGGCGAGGCUUUUGGAAUUAAGUGUCUUGCCCAGGACCACAUAGCUAGAAAGUAUCUGAGGCCAGAAUUGAACCCAGGACCCCUUGUCUCCAGGCUUGGCUCUCUGUCUGUAGGAGCCACAUAGCAUGCCCAAUAUGGUAUUUUAAAAAAUUUCUUUGUGACAUUAAAGUUCCCAGGUAUCUCUCUUCCUUUCUCUGCACUAGAGAAGGAAUAAUUUGAUUCUAUCAUAACUCUCUCUAUAAAGCACCAGUUCUUUCUCUUAAGAUAGACAUAAACAAGUUAUCCUUCAAACAAUA